ACGUAGAGAGAGCGGAAGAAGACCCGGACCCUGAGGUAGAUCUGAACCUGUGUGGGGUUUUAAAGUUGUGAUCAUGGCUCUGGGAGACUGCUGGAAACAGUUAUCCUGGUUUUACUACCAGUACCUCCUCGUGACCGCGCUGUACAUGCUGGAGCCGUGGGAGAGGACCGUGUUCAACUCUCUGCUCAUCUCUGUCGCCGGCAUGGCGGUCUACACCGGCUACGUCUUCAUGCCGCAGCACAUCAUGGCCAUCCUGCACUACUUCGAGGUCGUACAAUGACACCGCGAGACCACCACCACCACCUCUCCGUCCACUGGUCCCGUCUGUCUCCAGCUCCUGGUCUGUCCAUCCAUCCACCCACCCGUGGCUCGAGGAGUCCGGCCAUGUAGAGGCAGAGCUUCUCCCACACCUCCUCCUCCUCCUCCUCCUCCUCCUCUUCCUCCAGAGCUGGUUCCAAAGGUCAAAGCUGUGAGUGUCGAUCCGGAGCGUCUCGGUGGACGGUGCUCCUCUCUUGGACUCUUUCUCCUUCGUUGAAAUAUUUGAAGGACGUUCAUCAUGGAUGUGAAGACCUUUAAAGAAGACGUGCUUGAUUAUAUUCCACGUGUUUUAUUUUGAUCUCCUUAAAUCAAGCUCACUGUGCUGUUUUUGAGAAGUGUAAAUGAUCUGGUUGUGUGGACUGACUAUUUUUAUUUUUUAUUCCAUGAAGGUAUGAAACCGUUGUUGUCUUAGAGUUUUAUUCAGGGUUUGGGAACACAGAGGUUAAUAUGAAUGCUUUUUUUAUGAGCCGUGUAUGAUUAUGAGAGCCGAUCAGAUGUUGAAAGUGAGCGGGAGCUUCGCUGAAGGAGAUCUUCAGACGUUCUCGCUGCCUUUAUUUUAAUAAACAGAAACUCUUUGGCGACUUACGGUUAAUCCUAAAUCUGACGAUGAUAAACUGACCCUGCAGUAAAUACAUGUUUCCCUGUAAAAACCAAAGCUGCCACAUUCCUAAGAGAGUUGAAUAUUUGUUCCUGCUAAGCACAAAGUCGACUUACUCAGCUUUAAUCAGAGCCUUAAACCAUGAGAACCAGGAGUGUGCAGAACGUGGAGGUAGAUGAUGCACAUGGUGAACCAUCCUCCGUUUGAAGCGCUCUCUUGUUUUGGAGCUGUUUGAUCUGUCUCAUCCUAACUCUUAAAUCCCACAGCAGCUCCUACAGAUGUGUGUUUUUAUCGUCAGCUAGUUCAACAUCAGCGUUAACACUGAGCUUCUUAAAGGUGCAGGACGGGUCCGGUUUGAGUUGUUGCUCUUUUUGUAGCUUAAGCAAUAAAAGAGAGAGGAUUUUUCUAAAUGUGUUCAGACCAAAAGCAAAGCAAAGAAAUGUGUGAUACUGUAACAUCCAGGGUCGAUGCAAAGACAAGGAUUCCAGAUGCCUCAGAAAUGAUCGUAACCAAACUCCAAACAUUUUGAAUUUGUUUUCCUGUGACCUUGAAAACAAAUCUGAUAACCGCCUUUUCAGUCUGCAUCACGUGGUAGUUAUUUCAGCAUCAUUUCAGCCUCUUUAUUUUGGUUUAAUAGAGCUUGACUCUGUAGAAACAGUGAAACUGAGACUCACUACUGGUGCUCUACAGUUGAAACAAGACUGGUGGUAGUUGUAGUCCAUUAGAAAAAUCCUGGAAGAGACUCUACUGUGGUCAGCAGGUUUCAGACUACUUUAGUGUGACUUGUUGGAUACAGUGAAGCUGAGACUCAGUGGAAAGAAAUGGACAAGGUGUAACACAGCUGAAGAAACACAGAGUUGUCCAUCAGAGGAAUCCUGGAACAAACUGGGCACUGGUCAGCAGAUUCCAGACUACUUUAGUGUGACGUGUUGGAUACAGUGAAGCUGAGACUCACUACUGUUGCUCUACAGUUGAAACAAGACUGCUGGUAGUUGUAGUCCAUUAGAAAAAUCCUGGAACAGACUCUAUUGUGGUCAGCAGGUUUCAGACUACUUUAGCGUGACGUGUUAGAUACAGUGAAGCUGAGACUCAGUGGAAAGAAAUUGACAGAUGCUCUACAGCUGAAACAGCUUUGAUAGUUUGGGUCAAUCAGAAAAAUCCUGGAACAAACUGCACACUAGCAGCAGAUUUCGGACAGCUUUUGUUUGACAUGUUAGAUACAGUGAAGCUGAGACUCAGUGGGAAGAAAUUGAUAGGUGCUCUAUAGUUGUAACAACGCUGAUAUUUGGUGUCUAUCAGAUAAAUCCUGGAACAAACUGGGCGCUAGUCAGCAACUUUUAGACAGCUUUAGUUUGACUUGUUGGAUACAGUGAAGCUGAGACUCACUACAGAGAAAUAGACAUGGUGUAACACAGCUGAAACAACGCUUAUAGUUUGUGUCCAUCAGACAAACCCUGGAACAUCCCUACAGUGUUCAGCAGGUUUCUGACUACUUUAGCGUGACAUGUUAGCUACAGUGAAACUGAGACUCCCUAGUUAGAAAUCUCAGGUGCUCUACAGCUGAAACCGACCACUGGUAGUUGUAGUCCAUCAGAGAAAUCCUGGAUCAAACUCUGCAGAUUUCAGACAACUUAAAUGUGACUUACAGUGAAGCUGACACUCAGCAGAGAUAAAUGUGAUAUUAGGACUUUAAAAGCUUUCAAUCUGAGCAUAAAAUCCUCUUUCUGUUCUGUUCAGACUCCUUAUCCCAAAUAAAGGACUUCAGGUUACACCGUUGAAUAACUUUAAUAAAUCAACACUCCUGUUAAAACUGGACUACAUGAAACUUUAACUCUCUGUGCAGAAAUGAAUGUUUCCUCUUCAUGUGACCUUAUUGUACAUGUUACACACUCCCUCUGUAACUGCUCUCCCUGACACAGUUGUGAUUGUUAUUCCCUGCGAACACUGAAUUCUGUGUGUUUGUUUGUUUGUAUAUAAUCUUGUAUACAUAUUUGUAAAGUUUUGUAGUCGGAUACGAUGGCGCACAGAAUAAGAUGUUUGUGGUUUAUGUUAGCUUCUGAUGCUAAAUACCUCUAUAAACUGAAAUCAUUAAAGGGAUAUUUCACUGAGA
Molecule: long non-coding RNA, 3026 nt
Organism: Notolabrus celidotus (New Zealand spotty)
Lineage: Eukaryota; Metazoa; Chordata; Actinopteri; Labriformes; Labridae
Exons: 2
Source: RefSeq, a predicted model, not a curated record